This 410-nucleotide ribosomal RNA is filed under the name Talorchestia sp. 4 HL-2018. Its description in RNAcentral is "partial 16S ribosomal RNA". The record is from RNAcentral. Lineage: Eukaryota; Metazoa; Arthropoda; Malacostraca; Amphipoda; Talitridae.
UUUAUUGAAACUGGUAUGAACGGUUUAACAAAAAAUUUUUUUUUAUAAUAUUUUAUUAUAAUUUAUAGUUCGUGUAAGAAUACAAGAAUUAAUAAAAGGGACGAUAAGACCCUAAAAGCUUUACGUUUAAGUUAUUUAUAUUUGUUGUUUUUAUUUUAUUAAAAUGUUAUUGUUUGGUUGGGGUAAUAGUUUUUAUAUACAAAAAUUUUUAUGAACAUAAAGGUUAUAAGGUCCUUUAUAUAAGGAAAAAUUGUUUUAGUUACUUUAGGGAUAACAGCGUAAUAGAAUUAGUAAGAUCUUAUUUAUAAUUCUGAUUGUGACCUCGAUGUUGAAUUAAUCUUCUUUGUGAAGCAAAAAUUACAUAUGAAAGUUUGUUCAACUUUUAAUUAUUUACAUGAUCUGAGUUCAAA